CCAACUGUGAUGUCACUGUGAAAGCACAUACCUAAGCAGUCAUGUGGAAAACAGAACGCUGCCUCUCACAGCAAAGGAGAGCCUUGUCAGAACAGGAUCAAUCAGGAGGGAGCUCUGCAAAAGGGAACCCUGUUGAACGUUCAUGCUGCUCUCAAAGCUUUACACAGCAGAGGGACAUGGAGUUUUGUGAAGAAAAAGCUGGCUGUCAUGCUGCAAACUCCACCAGAAAGGCUUUGGACAAGCAAACACUGACUGAGAAAAGGACUCCAACAUUAACACUUUCUGUGUCAGCACUUCUGGAGAGAGGACAAAAAGACAAACAGACUUCUUCAGAUAUAAUGAAGAAAACAGGAAAAUCUGUGUCAAUGUCUGCUGUGAAAAAUUCUCCAGGAAAGUUUGGACCACAAGCGGACAACAGAAAAAAAGAGUGACUGGUUGACAAGGACGUGUUAAGGCUUCCUUCUGACACGUUAUGGAGGAUCUUAAGCAACACAAUUUUUCAGCACCACUUCCCCCCGGAAUGUUACAGCUACCAAUAAAAUAAGCAAGCUGCAAUUCA
Molecule: long non-coding RNA, 559 nt
Organism: Cyanistes caeruleus (blue tit)
Lineage: Eukaryota; Metazoa; Chordata; Aves; Passeriformes; Paridae
Source: Ensembl